AGAGUUUGAUCCUGGCUCAGGACGAACGCUGGCGGCGUGCCUAAUACAUGCAAGUAGAACGCUGAAGGAGGAGCUUGCUUCUCUGGAUGAGUUGCGAACGGGUGAGUAACGCGUAGGUAACCUGCCUGGUAGCGGGGGAUAACUAUUGGAAACGAUAGCUAAUACCGCAUAAGAGUAGAUGUUGCAUGACAUUUGCUUAAAAGGUGCACUUGCAUCACUACCAGAUGGACCUGCGUUGUAUUAGCUAGUUGGUGGGGUAACGGCUCACCAAGGCGACGAUACAUAGCCGACCUGAGAGGGUGAUCGGCCACACUGGGACUGAGACACGGCCCAGACUCCUACGGGAGGCAGCAGUAGGGAAUCUUCGGCAAUGGACGGAAGUCUGACCGAGCAACGCCGCGUGAGUGAAGAAGGUUUUCGGAUCGUAAAGCUCUGUUGUAAGAGAAGAACGAGUGUGAGAGUGGAAAGUUCACACUGUGACGGUAUCUUACCAGAAAGGGACGGCUAACUACGUGCCAGCAGCCGCGGUAAUACGUAGGUCCCGAGCGUUGUCCGGAUUUAUUGGGCGUAAAGCGAGCGCAGGCGGUUAGAUAAGUCUGAAGUUAAAGGCUGUGGCUUAACCAUAGUAGGCUUUGGAAACUGUUUAACUUGAGUGCAAGAGGGGAGAGUGGAAUUCCAUGUGUAGCGGUGAAAUGCGUAGAUAUAUGGAGGAACACCGGUGGCGAAAGCGGCUCUCUGGCUUGUAACUGACGCUGAGGCUCGAAAGCGUGGGGAGCAAACAGGAUUAGAUACCCUGGUAGUCCACGCUGUAAACGAUGAGUGCUAGGUGUUAGACCCUUUCCGGGGUUUAGUGCCGUAGCUAACGCAUUAAGCACUCCGCCUGGGGAGUACGACCGCAAGGUUGAAACUCAAAGGAAUUGACGGGGGCCCGCACAAGCGGUGGAGCAUGUGGUUUAAUUCGAAGCAACGCGAAGAACCUUACCAGGUCUUGACAUCCCUCUGACCGCUCUAGAGAUANAGAAUUCUAGAAGGCAUACCAGUUGUUUCGAGGUAAGGGAUCUUAGACGGUUUUUGAAAGUCAUAUUUCUUCAUUAGACUUCCACAAUCAGGGCAAGAUGGAGCCUCAUAAUCCAGCUUAGCGAUAAUUUCUUUGUGGGUAUCCAUAUUGAUGAUAUCUAGAAUCUUGAUGUUUGGGUCUUUAAUAUCGAGCAGUUUUGUGAUAAAAUGUAAUUGUUCCAUAUGAAUCUUUCUAAUGAGUUGUUUGUGUCGCUUUUCAUUAUAGGUCAUAUGGGACUUUUUUCUACACAAAAAUAGGCUCCAUAAUAUCCAUAGGGGAUUUACCCACUACAAAUAUUAUAGAGCCGGAAUUUUACAAUAGUUUGAAUUGUUUUGUACUAUAACAUCAUCUCUUUUGCUUGGAUAGUAUGAAUGGGAAAAACUUGAAUAAAAUUCGUUAAUGGCAUCUAUUUUAUAUUUGGUUAGUACUGGUUGCAUAUUAUUUUAAAAUAAAACUACUAUAUAAUAUUAUUCAUAGAGGCAAUGUAGUAAAAUAUCUAAAAAAUUCGAUUUUUUCCUUGACAACAAAUAAUAAAAAUGAUAUUUUUAUCACAUAAGAAAGCGGUUUCAACAAAAGAGAGAGGAGGGUUUAUUUUGUUGCAUUGUUGCUCAAGGUGUGCUUUUUUUGAAAGAAAAAAUAAAAUGAAAACGAAAAAACAUAGAUUACUUGCUCUAGCUCUUAUUUCAAGUUUUACAUUAUUGGGAGCUGCAUCAGCUGCUGUAUAAUAUCCAGAUGGAGGAGUAUGGACAUAUGGAGAAGGUUCAGGAGGUGGUUAGGCUUUUUCAAAUUACUAUCAUGGUAAAAAAUAUCAUUAUUCAUCCAUCGUGAGCAGAUGGGAUGGUCAUUCUGAUAAAGGAGAAGCUCCUGCUGGAAAAACCUCCUAUGCAUGGAUUUGGACUAAAUGGGGAGAACAAGUAGCAUUUUACUGUGAUUAUGACUAAUCGUUCAUUGAUUUAAAUCGUUCCCCUUGUAAGAAAUUACAGGGGGAAUUUUGUUUACAAGGAGUCUACUAUGAAGAAACUAUUCAUAUUAUUAUCAACUUUUUUUCUCAGCUUCUUCCUUGCUUGGAUUAUUGUCUUACGUGCGCCACAAUAUUUAUAUGCAAGCUAUGAUUCCGUUUCUUUACUUCGUGUCAAAAAAGAUACUCAGGAACCGACGCGUGAGGUAUUUGAACAGGAAUUGGAGAAUUUUGCAAACUCAGAACAGAGUUUAAUAGCUAGAAGAAUUGUAGAGCCGAGUAAGGAUGGGACGACUCACUUUACUUAUGCAACUUAUGGUCAGGGAACUUUACCAAAAGAAUUCCAAGAAGCUAGUCAAGAAAAUCGUGAACGUAGUGAUCCGCUAAAUAGUUAUCUCCUUUUGUCAGGCUCCUUGACGAAAGAAAAGCUUGCCGAUAAAUUAGGAGAUUUGGGUUAUAAAGCAAGUGCUGACCGAAAGAUACCGCCCUAUUUUCUUGCUUUUCGAAUAUUACUAAAUCCCCUUAUUUUAAUUAGUUUAGC
This 2556-nucleotide ribosomal RNA is filed under the name Streptococcus pneumoniae. Its description in RNAcentral is "16S ribosomal RNA". The stretch from base 1 to 1246 matches the Rfam family "Bacterial small subunit ribosomal RNA". The record is from RNAcentral. Lineage: Bacteria; Bacillati; Bacillota; Bacilli; Lactobacillales; Streptococcaceae.